Molecule: ribosomal RNA, 211 nt
Filed under: uncultured fungus
Lineage: Eukaryota; Fungi
Description: partial small subunit ribosomal RNA
Rfam family: Eukaryotic small subunit ribosomal RNA (bases 98-211)
Source: RNAcentral
GGCGCGGGCCGCUGCGUCCGCCUUCGGGUGUGACGCGUCGACCGCGCCAUCCUUGCGGCCAAGGCGUCGUCGUUAACUCGGCGGCGUCCCCAGCCGCAUCCUUUACUGUGAAAAAAUUAGAGUGUUUAAAGCAGGCCUGCCGCUUGAAUACAUUAGCAUGGAAUAAUAAGAUAGGACUUCGGUGCUAUUUUGUUGGUUGCGUACCGAGGUA